GUUUGUGACUUUGUUUCAAACCAUUAUAUUAAAUAUUAAUUCGUAAUCAAAGACAACAAAAUAGAUCCUACCUGCAUUUCAUGCAUAACUGUCGAUUUCGAGUUCGACCUACCAGAUCUUCCAGAAGCCAUCAACACAAAGCACCUAAUGGCCGACCGUCAUGUAAAUGUACGAUCUAAGCGACGCUGGCUGAAGGCAAUAUAAAUGGACUUUUUCCUCCUUCUCUUCAAAUAUAUAGGUUUUAGAUUUUUUAAGCUUAGGGAAUCAUUCCCUAUUUGUGUGUCAUUCUCCGAAUUAGAUAUACCAAUGUAUGCAGAAUCAUACAUUUUUUAUGCGUGACCACAUACUGCCAUAUUGUGUUGUUUAUUUAGUCAACAAACCGUAAUAAAGACGGUUAGUAUAAUUAUUCUAAGUUGAUAUGGAAGUUUAGAAAUUUUGAAUGGUAAAGUUAUCGACAACUGAUUUUAAACUAGUAUGUUUUUGACUUUAUUUCCUUAUUUCCAGUAUUAAUGAUCAAUUGCAUAGCUCUUUUGUAAUUAUUCAUAUGAUUGCCUAUAAAGAAUGAAACGAAUGAAUCGUAUACUCUUUCAAAGGGAUAGAUGCUGACACUUUUCUUCACUAUAUUCUUGAUAACAUCCGACACCAUGCUUUCAAGCUCAUAAGCUUCUGACGCGAUUAGUUUGUCAUCCACAAUUCAAAAGCAGUCGAUAUUAUCAAUAAAUAAUAUGCAAAAUUGACGGGAAUUUUUAUUCAACGAUGCAGAAUGGAGCCCAUAUCAAUUCGUUUAUUGCAAAAAAAGAUAUAUAUUAAAAGAGUGGUAAUUUGAUGAGUAUUUCUGCAUUAAAUUAAGACACUUUACGAUCAUAUUGCGAAUACUUGCCGAAUUAUUCUAUUCAACAGUUUUAGUCAAAUAAAAAGCAUGUAUGGACUUGUUCGCUAAGGGAAUUUUCACAAGACAACGCAGCUAGAUUUUUCCUUGAACGGAUUUUGUUUCUUGUCAAUUCCGAUUAGAAAUGGAUCAUAUUCUUGUGACUCCCGAAUGUAUUUUACAAGUUCUUCACUUGUUUUCGAUACCGGAUAUCUAUCGACUUGACUUUCAAUCUUCAGCUGCUCUACUAAUUUCUUUUGAGCUUCGAUCACUUCAUUCGACAUGAUUCUGAAAUUCAAGAAAUAGAAUGCGUGCCACUUUUUAUGCUAAUCAAAAUCUACCUGUAUGCUAUUGGGUUUUAUACUUAGUAGCUGCUUGAAUAUUCGUCCAACUCUAAAUAGUUGUAAAGAAUUUACUAAUAGUUAAAAAAUAUCUUCCUAUAUUAUUAUUUAUUCAGCUGAAGCAAAAUUUUUUUCCAACUUAUUCAAGGUUUCGUGGAAUAUCACUCGUCUUUCACAAAUGUCAGCUACAAAUAAAUUAUUCUUUAUAUUAGAUGUUUACCGUUCAGUAGGUAUUAUUUGUGCCAAAACAAAUUAGAGAGCUUGUCGCAAAAAAUCAACCUGGUUAAUAUGAAAGCCAAUAUCGGCCUACUUUUUUAAAAAUCUGUUACGCCAUCUAUUGACAGAGUAUGUAUGCUUAAGUAAAAUUGUUUUUCUUUAAUUUCAGACAAGCUUAUAGCCUUAUUGCGGAAAAUUACCAAUUUUAUAACAGUAUCGAAUCAGGACGAAAAUUGAACGAUACUGUUCAAUACAGGAAACUGAAAGAGAACGAGGUAGUUGAGGAAAGCCUUUCACGAAAGGGAGACGAUGGUUGGGUUAUCGAAAAUUUGUGUUCUUAAAAAUUUUUAAGUUUGCUUAGUGUGUUUUUUGGUUAAGGCUAUUAUCUAUCUAUGUUCGUUUAAAUUUUCCGAAACAAAUAAAAGCUAACAUGCACAGCUGUUGAAUAAUAGACGCAAAACACAAUCUAUCAAAAAUUGGCCCGCAGUUACAGUGAAUGAUUCUAAGAGCGAAAAAUUGUAUAAAAGAUCCUUUUAUGAACAUGUCUGAUACCUGCAAUAGAACACUCUCCGAUCUUAUUGAGAAGAAUGAUGGACUACAGCAACAGAAAUUCGACAUGGUUAGAUUUUCGAAAAGUUCUGUAGAGCGACACCCGAUGGAUCAAUUCAACAAAAUGCAAACAGAAUACGAAAAGUUUAUCAAAGUGAAUCAGUUUAUCCUCUGCACCUCUGGAAAUGACAACAAACCUUCAGCAAGGACGAUGGUCCUCACGAAGACAAGUAAAGAGCAGACUAGUUUUCACUUCUUUGCAAUGACAACAAGUCGAAAAGCCGAAGAGCUCGAAGAGAACAAUUAUGCAACUGCAAUUUUUCUUUGGACUAUUAAUGGAGUUUUAAACCAGAUUCGUGUAGAAGGCAGGGUUAAUAAGUUAAGCGAGUCUGAAACUUUAAAAGACUAUAGUAAGCUUUCUGAUGACUAUAAAGCGUACUAUCAUAUCACUCAGCAGGGGCAAGCCGUGCAAUCUGUAUCUGAUUUGCAAGAGAAGCAUGAGAAGUUCUUGGGUAUUGUUCACGAAUUACCAUGCCCUUUUCAUGUGCGGUCAUAUGCAUUAGAAGCAGACUCAGUUGAGAUUUUUAAGCCGGAUGGUUUAUUUGGAAACGAGAGAGUUUUAUAUAGGAAGCAAAUUGAAGGAGAAGAUAUUAAUGAACUUAUUACAUCAAAUGGUGAGGGAGAUUGGUUGAUAGAAAAUAUAUGUCCCUAAUUGAAUACAUCUUAAAAAUGUAGUUGUUUUCUUUUGAUUUAAAAGUUUAU
Molecule: unclassified non-coding RNA, 2736 nt
Filed under: Dimorphilus gyrociliatus
Lineage: Eukaryota; Metazoa; Annelida; Polychaeta; Dinophilidae
Description: pyridoxal 5'-phosphate synthase
Source: RNAcentral